RNAcentral lists this ribosomal RNA (657 nucleotides) under uncultured bacterium. RNAcentral's name for it is "bacterial SSU rRNA". It matches the Rfam family "Bacterial small subunit ribosomal RNA", at positions 202 to 885 of the family's 1533-position model. The record is from RNAcentral.
AAAGAUUUAUCGCCAAUCGAUGAGCCCGCGUUGGAUUAGCUAGAUGGUGAGGUAAGAGCUUACCAUGGCGACGAUCCAUAGCUGGUCUGAGAGGAUGAUCAGCCACACUGGGACUGAGACACGGCCCAGACUCCUACGGGAGGCAGCAGUGGGGAAUAUUGGACAAUGGGGGCAACCCUGAUCCAGCCAUGCCGCGUGAGUGAUGAAGGCCCUAGGGUUGUAAAGCUCUUUCAGUCAUGAGGAUAAUGACGUUAAUGACAGAAGAAGCCCCGGCUAACUUCGUGCCAGCAGCCGCGGUAAUACGAAGGGGGCUAGCGUUGUUCGGAAUCACUGGGCGUAAAGCGCACGUAGGCGGACUUUUAAGUCAGGGGUGAAAUCCCGAGGCUCAACCUCGGAACUGCCUUUGAUACUGGAAGUCUUGAGUUCGAGAGAGGUGAGUGGAACUCCGAGUGUAGAGGUGAAAUUCGUAGAUAUUCGGAAGAACACCAGUGGCGAAGCGGCUCACUGGCUCGAUACUGACGCUGAGGUGCGAAAGGUGGGGAGCAAACAGGAUUAGAUACCCUGGUAGUCCACGCCGUAAACGAUGGAAGCUAGCCGUCAGUAGCAUGCUAUUUGGUGGCGCCGUAACGCAUUAAGCUUCCCGCCUGGGGAGUACGG